GAAGAUGGCGGCUGUGUUCUGUUCUCUGGCCACUGCACACAAGGGGCUGGUGCUCCAAGACUUUGCUUCACACAUGUAAGUUCCCCUGGACAGCAAACCGUUGAUGCUCUGUUGCUGUAUCCAGGUUCUUUUUUCUGUCUCAAGGCUGAGCUACUACAAGGCUCAGCAUGGGGUUUUGGAAGGAGACAUCAACCCAGAAACCUCAGUUAGGAUCCCAGCUCCUCUCAAAAUCCCCCACUUGGCCAGUUUGUUCGUCUGUAACGAAGAUAUGUCCUACUCUUGACCUUGCACUUCUCCAUGAUAACCACUGAUUGGCCCCAUUUUACGUAGAAUUGACAUAGAGGCUCAGAAAGAUGAAGUGACUUGCCCAAGGUAUUACAGCAAGUUGGGAUUCAGUCCAAUGCCUGAGUCCCCCAAUGCCAUGCUUUCUGUCCCACAGUGGGAGCCCUGGGCACAAUUUGACUGCUUUUUCACUUUUGGGAAGUGAAGUCCCAGCGCACAGCCCACCCAGGGGCAUCUGUGAUGCACACCAUCUCCCUUUGUGCCCUGGUUCUGCAUGCCUCCCACUGUGAGAACCCUGAGAAACAGGCAGAUGAGCAACCAUGGAUCCAGAUCCUUUGGAGUCACUUCCUGGCAGAUGCCACAUCUAAGGACAUCCCAUGCCCUGCCAAGGGCUGUUUGGAUAUUCCAGCAGACUCUGGAUCAGGGGAAGCAGCUCAGCUUGGAAACAGGAAGCUUUCCCCAAGAGCUUUUUGGGGUGCAUCCAAAGGGACAGCGAUCUGGAUCCAGGUGGCCUGCAGCCUCCCACCCAGCAUCCCCCCAGCUCCGACUGCCUCGCCGACAGACGCUGCAGGAAGGGCAGCCUGGAAUCCGGUGAACUGGGAAAUCUGAGGAUGCAGCCUGUGGCAACUUGGUCCACACUCCAUGCUGGCCUGGUGGCCACCCUGAUUCACCAUCAGCGUGCAGGAAGAAGAGAGAAGGUUAGUCACAUCUUUUAGAGGCUGUGAUCUAAAGCAGCAUCUUGAGUACCUGAGCCGUUCUCCACAUCAACAUGACCAUAUUUUUAGCUUCUCCGGUGACACAGCCGGAAAGGUUUCAUUAAACAGCUGGGGGAAAGGCAGUUGGUAACUAGGAGUCCGCUGUUCUCACACGUAAAUCUCACACCUGAAGAAGCGCCCUGCCUAGGGCCCCCGGGGGACCUUCUUCCAGGCUGCGGGGCAGAGCUCUUGGGACUGACGAGGGACAGGUGAAGUGGGUAUAGGGUGGGUAGCCUCCAAGAGGUGCCCACUGAUCUUUGCCUCUGGGUGAACCUUAGGUAGUCCCCUCCCACAUUGUACCAGGUUUGUCUGCGUCGGGACCCAUCCAGGUGGGCAGAAGUGACAGUGCAUGACUUCCAAAACUGAGCCAUAAAAAGUACCAUGCUCUCCAAUCACCUUGGAAGGGGGUGGCUGCCAUAUUGUGAGGACACUCUAGCAGCCUGUGGAGCAACAUCCAUGGAGAGGAGCUGAAGCCCCUGGCCACCAGCCAGCACCAACUUCCCAGCCCUGUGAGUGAGCCACCUCGGAAGUAUAUUCUCAGCCCAGUCAAGGCAUCAGUUGCCUGCAGCCCAGGGCCAACCCUGUGACUGCAAUCUCAAGAGACACCCUGAGUCAGAACUACCCAGCUAAGCUGUUCCCAGAUUCUUGACACUCACAAACUAUGUAAAAAAUAAUAAAUAUUCAUUUUGGUAUCAAGCUGCUAAGCUUGGGGGAUUAUUUGUUACACAGCAAUGCAUAAUUGAUACAGAAUGGAUCCAGAUGCCCAAGGAUAGCCAGAUAUUGCCCUGAGAAGAAAAGUUGGCUUUUUAUGAUUUUUUUUCCCCUCACUCCUUUCCCAAAGUGCUUUUACAUAAGAAAGGGAUGGGUUGAUGGAUAAGGAGUCUAGAUACUUGGAUUUGUGUCCUGGCUCCGUCAUUCCCCUCUAUUAGCCUUACUUUCCCACCCGUAAAGGAGAGGAGUUAAAAGUGUACCUGUCAGCUCUGAAAUCAUAGGGUCUCAUAGUGGUUAAAACCACAAGUUCUGAGUCAGGAGGACUGGUUGUGAACCACGGUUGUUGUGUGACCCCAGGCUAAUUCCCUAACUUCUCGGAGCCUCAGUUUCACCCUCUAUAAAGUAGGUUUAAUGCUAUCUACUUCAUGGCAUCAUUACAAAAAAUCCAAUAAAAUAAUACAUAUAAACUGCUACACAGUAAGUGCUUAAUUAAUGGUAGUCACCACUACCAAUAAUGAGAUAGUACAACAGCUACAAUUAUUUCCACUUAUAGUUAAGAUACAGAGAGUUCAGUUGCUUCUGGUGGGCGUGGAACUGACAGACUUGAGAGAACUUUGGGGGGGGGUUCCAGUAAUAUUCUAAUAUAUCUCAUAAGAAGUUUGCAUCACAGAUUUCCCAUUGUGGCUCAAUGGUUAAUGAACCCAACUAGGAUCCAUGAGGAUGUGGGUUCAAUUCCUGGCCUUGCUCGGUGGGUUAAAUAUCCAGUGUUGCCAUGAGCUCUGGUGUAUGUCACAGGCAUGGCCCAGAUCCCCAGUUCUGUGGCUAUGGUGUAGGCCUGCAGCUGCCAUUCCAAUUUGACCCCUAGCCUGGGAACUUCCAUAUGCCACAGUGCAGCCCUAAAAAAAGGCAAAAAAAAAAAAAAAGCAUCACAUAAAAAGCAUAUAUAUUUGUCAAUGGUAGACCUAAAUUUGUACAUUUUAUUGGUUUUUUUUGUUUGUUUGGCUGCACCCAUGGCGUGCAGAAUUUCCCAGGCCGGGGAUGGAACCUGCUGCCAUGACAAUGCCAGAUCCUUAACCCCCUGUGCCACAGGAGAACCCUGGGUUUUUUUGUUUUGUUUUGUUGUUUUUUUUUUUUUUUUUUUUUGUCUUUUUAGGGCUUCACCCUCAGCAUAUGGGGGUUCCCAGGCUAGGGGUCUAAUCACAGCUGUAGUUGUCGGUUUACACCACAGCCACAGCAACUCAGGAUCUGAACCGCAUCUGCAACCUACUCACAGCUCAUGGCAACGCUAGAUCCUUAAUCCCCUGAUUGAGGCCGGGGAUCGAACCCGCAACCUCAUGGUUACUAGUUGGGUUCAUUAACCACCGAGCCACGACAGGAACUGUUGUAUUUUGUAAAUUAAACAUAUAUUAAACUCUAGAUAAUAAUAAAAAUGCUGAAGUAUUAGGGGGGGGGAGCUACAGCGAGUAUUGAGGACUUCAUUGAUCUGGAACAGACCACGGUAGGGAUAGGAGUUUGAGAAACUGCCCUAGAGAAACUUUCACACAUGUGCCCCCAAAAUCAUACAAAAAUUUCACUGCAGUGCUGUUUGUAGUAGGGGGCGCUUGGAAGAAUCCCAGUGCUCUUCACCAGGGGAAGGCAAAGGGUAUGUAUUAUUUAGGAACAUGUACCGUAUGAGUAAGAGCAAGAGGCCAUGCAUGAGUAUAAUAAGCUUUGAAUUCAAGAUGCUGGUUGCCCCUGGAAGGGGAAGCGGGCCGUGAUGGGGAGGAGAUGCUAUGGGGCUUUGCAGGGUGCUUUGUUAAUAGGAAACAGUAUUUCUUAAACUGGGUGGCAAGCGCAGGUACUCAUUGCAUUAUUGAUGCCUACUGGAUGUCUGAAAUAUUUAAUUUAAAAAUAGAUGUGGGAGUUCUCACCAUGGUGCAGUGGGUUAAGAAUCCAACUGCAGUGGCUCGGGUUGCAGUUUCGGCUCAGAUUCAAUCCCUGGCCCAGGAAUUUCCAUAUGCCCCAGUGCAGCCAUAAAAAAAAUAAAUAAAAAAUAGAUGUGCAUAGCGUGUUCCUGGUGGCUUAGCGGUUUAGGAUUUGGCAUUGUCACUGCUGUGGUGUAGGUUUGAUUCCCUGGCCCAGGAACUUCCACAUACCAGGGAUUCAGACAAAAAAAGAAAAAAACUAGAUGUGCAGAGAAAAAUAUUUAGCGUAAUUGUGCAUGGAUAUUUUUUUCUUCUUGUUGUUUAUUUAUGCCUUCUCUUACAUCUGUAACAAUCCCAUCUUGCUUCGAAGAAAUAAAGUCAUUGGCUAC
RNAcentral lists this long non-coding RNA (4041 nucleotides) under Sus scrofa (pig). RNAcentral's name for it is "lncRNA (ENSSSCG00000052241.1)". Lineage: Eukaryota; Metazoa; Chordata; Mammalia; Artiodactyla; Suidae. The record is from RNAcentral.